Molecule: ribosomal RNA, 537 nt
Filed under: uncultured archaeon
Lineage: Archaea
Description: bacterial SSU rRNA
Rfam family: Archaeal small subunit ribosomal RNA
Source: RNAcentral
CCUUUAAUUUUCCUGCUUGAAACCGUGAUUCGGGGACACCGAGUGCCAGCAUCAUAUGCUGGCUGUCCAGGUGUGUAAAAUACACCUGUUAGCAAGGGCCGGGCAAGACCGGUGCCAGCCGCCGCGGUAACACCGGCGGCCCGAGUGGUGAUCGUGAUUAUUGGGUCUAAAGGGUCCGUAGCCGGUUUGGUCAGUCCUCCGGGAAAUCUGAUAGCUUAACUAUUAGGCUUUCGGAGGAUACUGCCAGACUUGGAACCGGGAGAGGUAAGAGGUACUACAGGGGUAGGAGUGAAAUCUUGUAAUCCCUGUGGGACCACCUGUGGCGAAGGCGUCUUACCAGAACGGGUUCGACGGUGAGGGACGAAAGCUGGGGGGCACGAACCGGAUUAGAUACCCGGGUAGUCCCAGCCGUAAACGAUGCUCGCUAGGCGUCAGGCAUGGCGCGACCGUGUCUGGUGCCGCAGGGAAGCCGUGAAGCGAGCCACCUGGGAAGUACGGCCGCAAGGCUGAAACUUAAAGGAAUUGGCGGGGGAGCAC